RNAcentral lists this ribosomal RNA (101 nucleotides) under Antarcticimicrobium sediminis. Its description in RNAcentral is "Sulfitobacter sp. S4J41 partial 23S ribosomal RNA". It matches the Rfam family "Bacterial large subunit ribosomal RNA", at positions 2831 to 2925 of the family's 2925-position model. Lineage: Bacteria; Pseudomonadati; Pseudomonadota; Alphaproteobacteria; Rhodobacterales; Paracoccaceae. The record is from RNAcentral.
AGGACCGUGGUAGACCACCACGUCGAUAGGCCGGAGAUGUAAGCGCAGCAAUGCGUUCAGUUGACCGGUACUAAUUGUCCGAUAGGCUUGAUUUGAUCCAG